UACGUAGGGUGCGAGCGUUGUCCGGAAUUAUUGGGCGUAAAGAGCUCGUAGGCGGUUUGUUGCGUCUGUCGUGAAAACCUGCAGCUUAACUGUGGGCUUGCGGUGGAUACGGGCAGACUUGAGUUCGGUAGGGGAGACUGGAAUUCCUGGUGUAGCGGUGAAAUGCGCAGAUAUCAGGAGGAACACCGGUGGCGAAGGCGGGUCUCUGGACAGUUCCUGACGCUGAGGCACGAAGGUCAGGGGAGCAAACGGG
This 253-nucleotide ribosomal RNA is filed under the name uncultured bacterium. Its description in RNAcentral is "partial 16S ribosomal RNA". It matches the Rfam family "Bacterial small subunit ribosomal RNA", at positions 524 to 776 of the family's 1533-position model. The record is from RNAcentral.